RNAcentral lists this ribosomal RNA (567 nucleotides) under uncultured Actinomycetes bacterium. RNAcentral describes it as "bacterial SSU rRNA". It matches the Rfam family "Bacterial small subunit ribosomal RNA", at positions 338 to 916 of the family's 1533-position model. The record is from RNAcentral. Lineage: Bacteria; Bacillati; Actinomycetota; Actinomycetes.
CCUACGGGAGGCAGCAGUGGGGAAUAUUGGGCAAUGGAGGAAACUCUGACCCAGCGACGCCGCGUGCGGGAUGAAGGCCUUCGGGUUGUAAACCGCUUUCAGUAGGGAAGAAGCGAAAGUGACGGUACCUACAAAAGAAGCACCGGCUAACUAUGUGCCAGCAGCCGCGGUAAUACAUAGGGUGCAAGCGUUGUCCGGAAUUAUUGGGCGUAAAGAGCUCGUAGGUCGUUUGUUACGUCGGAUGUGAAAACCUGAGGCUCAACCUCAGGCCUGCAUUCGAUACGGGCAAACUAGAGUUUGGUAGGGGAGACUGGAAUUCCUGGUGUAGCGGUGGAAUGCGCAGAUAUCAGGAGGAACACCAAUGGCGAAGGCAGGUCUCUGGGCCAAUACUGACACUGAGGAGCGAAAGUCUGGGGAGCGAACAGGAUUAGAUACCCUGGUAGUCCAGACCGUAAACGGUGGGCACUAGUUGUGGGAACCUUCCACGGUUUCUGCGACGCAGCUAACGCAUUAAGUGCCCCGCCUGGGGAGUACGGUCGCAAGAUUAAAACUCAAAGGAAUUGACGG